Molecule: transfer RNA, 73 nt
Filed under: Caudoviricetes sp.
Lineage: Duplodnaviria; Heunggongvirae; Uroviricota; Caudoviricetes
Description: tRNA-Phe
Rfam family: tRNA
About the family: Transfer RNA (tRNA) molecules are approximately 80 nucleotides in length. Their secondary structure includes four short double-helical elements and three loops (D, anti-codon, and T loops). Further hydrogen bonds mediate the characteristic L-shaped molecular structure. tRNAs have two regions of fundamental functional importance: the anti-codon, which is responsible for specific mRNA codon recognition, and the 3' end, to which the tRNAs corresponding amino acid is attached (by aminoacyl-tRNA synthetases). tRNAs cope with the degeneracy of the genetic code in two manners: having more than one tRNA (with a specific anti-codon) for a particular amino acid; and 'wobble' base-pairing, i.e. permitting non-standard base-pairing at the 3rd anti-codon position.
Source: RNAcentral
GCCUUUUUAGUUCAGUUGGUAGAGCAGAGGACUGAAAAUCCUCGUGUCGUUGGUUCGAGUCCAGCAGGAGGCG